UCAGGACGAACGCUGGCGGCGUGCUAAUACAUGCAAGUCGAACGAACUCUGGUAUUGAUUGGUGCUUGCAUCAUGAUUUACAUUUGAGUGAGUGGCGAACUGGUGAGUAACACGUGGGAAACCUGCCCAGAAGCGGGGGAUAACACCUGGAAACAGAUGCUAAUACCGCAUAACAACUUGGACCGCAUGGUCCGAGUUUGAAAGAUGGCUUCGGCUAUCACUUUUGGAUGGUCCCGCGGCGUAUUAGCUAGAUGGUGAGGUAACGGCUCACCAUGGCAAUGAUACGUAGCCGACCUGAGAGGGUAAUCGGCCACAUUGGGACUGAGACACGGCCCAAACUCCUACGGGAGGCAGCAGUAGGGAAUCUUCCACAAUGGACGAAAGUCUGAUGGAGCAACGCCGCGUGAGUGAAGAAGGGUUUCGGCUCGUAAAACUCUGUUGUUAAAGAAGAACAUAUCUGAGAGUAACUGUUCAGGUAUUGACGGUAUUUAACCAGAAAGCCACGGCUAACUACGUGCCAGCAGCCGCGGUAAUACGUAGGUGGCAAGCGUUGUCCGGAUUUAUUGGGCGUAAAGCGAGCGCAGGCGGUUUUUUAAGUCUGAUGUGAAAGCCUUCGGCUCAACCGAAGAAGUGCAUCGGAAACUGGGAAACUUGAGUGCAGAAGAGGACAGUGGAACUCCAUGUGUAGCGGUGAAAUGCGUAGAUAUAUGGAAGAACACCAGUGGCGAAGGCGGCUGUCUGGUCUGUAACUGACGCUGAGGCUCGAAAGUAUGGGUAGCAAACAGGAUUAGAUACCCUGGUAGUCCAUACCGUAAACGAUGAAUGCUAAGUGUUGGAGGGUUUCCGCCCUUCAGUGCUGCAGCUAACGCAUUAAGCAUCCGC
RNAcentral lists this ribosomal RNA (882 nucleotides) under Lactiplantibacillus plantarum. RNAcentral's name for it is "bacterial SSU rRNA". It matches the Rfam family "Bacterial small subunit ribosomal RNA", at positions 24 to 872 of the family's 1533-position model. Lineage: Bacteria; Bacillati; Bacillota; Bacilli; Lactobacillales; Lactobacillaceae. The record is from RNAcentral.